This 238-nucleotide unclassified non-coding RNA is filed under the name uncultured Clavaria. Its description in RNAcentral is "partial internal transcribed spacer 2". Lineage: Eukaryota; Fungi; Basidiomycota; Agaricomycetes; Agaricales; Clavariaceae. The record is from RNAcentral.
AUAUCUCAACCCAGACAGGUUUCACAACCUGUUCUGUUGCUUGGAUGUUGAAGGCUUGCUGGCUUUUUUCAAGUCAGCUCCUUUUAAAUUCAUUAGCAGAAAUGAUAGGCAAAACUGGCUUCAGUUUGAUAAAAUACUUUAUCUGUACUGCUGUUGCUAGUGAAAGAUACCUAACAUAUUUCAGCUUCUAAUUGUCCCAUGUGGGACUGUCUUCUUGAAGGCAAUUAACCAAUUUGAC